AGCUAGUUGGUGGGGUAAUGGCCCACCAAGGCUGUGAUCUGUAGCUGGUCUGAGAGGAUGAUCAGCCACACUGGAACUGAGACACGGUCCAGACUCCUACGGGAGGCAGCAGUGGGGAAUAUUGGACAAUGGGCGCAAGCCUGAUCCAGCUAUGCCGCGUGAGUGAGGAAGGCCUUAGGGUUGUAAAACUCUUUCAGUAGGGAAGAUAAUGACGGUAC
Molecule: ribosomal RNA, 218 nt
Filed under: uncultured Anaplasma sp.
Lineage: Bacteria; Pseudomonadati; Pseudomonadota; Alphaproteobacteria; Rickettsiales; Anaplasmataceae
Description: partial 16S ribosomal RNA
Rfam family: Bacterial small subunit ribosomal RNA
Source: RNAcentral